Molecule: ribosomal RNA, 497 nt
Filed under: uncultured bacterium
Lineage: Bacteria
Description: partial 16S ribosomal RNA
Rfam family: Bacterial small subunit ribosomal RNA
Source: RNAcentral
GGUGAACGCUGGCGGCGGGCCUAAUACAUGCAAGUCGAGCGACCGGACGAUGAGCUUUCGCCUCUAAGGUUGGCGGCUGACGGGUGGGUGAGAAGUGGAUAACCUACCUAUUUUUCGGGGAGGACAACGGGAAGCCGCAUCUACUACUGGCUAAUAUAUUCAACGGCAUAAUUCAAUAGUUAUAGACAGUUUGGCUGUCACUUAUAGAUGGAUCCGCGUCGCAUUAGCUGGUGGGUAAGGUAACGGCUCACCAAGGCGACGAUGCGUAGCCGACCUGAGAGGGUGAUCAGCCACACUGGAACUGAGACACGGUCCAGACUCCUACGGGAGGCAGCAGUAGGGAAUAUUCCGCAAUGGGCGAAAGCCUGAUCGAGCAAUGCCGCGUGAGUGAUGAAGGUCUUCGGAUCGUAAAACUCUGUUGUUAGGGAAGAAAAAAUGCAUAUGUAUCUACCCCCGUCUUGACGGUACCUAAACAGAAAGCCCCGGCUAACUACGUG